RNAcentral lists this ribosomal RNA (472 nucleotides) under uncultured bacterium. RNAcentral describes it as "bacterial SSU rRNA". It matches the Rfam family "Bacterial small subunit ribosomal RNA", at positions 335 to 799 of the family's 1533-position model. The record is from RNAcentral.
ACUCCUACGGGAGGCAGCAGUGGGGAAUAUUGCACAAUGGGGAAACCCUGAUGCAGCCAUGCCGCGUGUGUGAAGAAGGCCUUCGGUUGUAAAGCACUUUCAGUAGGGAGGAAGGUAGUGUAGUUAACACCUGCACUAUUUGACGUUACCUACAGAAGAAGCACCGGCUAACUCCGUGCCAGCAGCCGCGGUAAUACGGAGGGGUGCGAGCGUUAAUCGGAAUUACUGGGCGUAAAGCGCAUGCAGGCGGCCUGUUAAGUCAGAUGUGAAAGCCCGGGGGCUUAACCUCGGAAUUGCAUUUGAAACUGGCAGGCUAGAGUCUUGUAGAGGGGGUAGAAUUUCAGGUGUAGCGGUGAAAUGCGUAGAGAUCUGAAGGAAUACCAGUGGCGAAGGCGGCCCCCUGGACAAAGACUGACGCUCAGAUGCGAAAGCGUGGGGAGCAAACAGGAUUAGAUACCCUGGUGACACAGAG